AUCCAACUGACAAGUACCAAAUAGGACGAAGCGUGCGUUCUGGAU
Molecule: non-coding RNA, 45 nt
Organism: Schistosoma margrebowiei
Lineage: Eukaryota; Metazoa; Platyhelminthes; Trematoda; Strigeidida; Schistosomatidae
Source: Rfam